RNAcentral lists this long non-coding RNA (283 nucleotides) under Carica papaya (papaya). Its description in RNAcentral is "long non-coding RNA (CPAP_LNC003815)". Lineage: Eukaryota; Viridiplantae; Streptophyta; Magnoliopsida; Brassicales; Caricaceae. The record is from RNAcentral.
CAACAAAAGCAUAUAGAAUUAUAUGCAACAUGUUUUUGAUGGAUCUAAAAGAAUAAGGACAAAGCAAAAGUUCAUCAAGGUAAACGGAACACUCGUAUAGGGUAGCUUCAAAGUACAAUGGCAACGGAAAAAAAUUAAAGGGAAGUGCUAAAAGGGUCACAUGGAGAAAGUUUGUUUGUCAAAAAAAGGUCCAUGGAGAAUAACUUUACUACUUCCAAAAGUGAAGAGGAAUGGGAUUUUGAGCAUUCUUUGCGGUAGAAAAGGAGUAGCUAGCUCUUACAGC